UACGUAGGGUGCAAGCGUUGUCCGGAAUUAUUGGGCGUAAAGGGCUCGUAGGCGGUCUGUCACGUCGGGAGUGAAAACUCGGGGCUUAACCCCGAGCCUGCUUCCGAUACGGGCAGACUAGAGGUAUGCAGGGGAGAAUGGAAUUCCUGGUGUAGCGGUGAAAUGCGCAGAUAUCAGGAGGAACACCGAUGGCGAAGGCAGGUCUCUGGGCAUUAACUGACGCUGAGGAGCGAAAGCGUGGGGAGCGAACAGG
Molecule: ribosomal RNA, 253 nt
Filed under: uncultured bacterium
Lineage: Bacteria
Description: partial 16S ribosomal RNA
Rfam family: Bacterial small subunit ribosomal RNA
Source: RNAcentral